RNAcentral lists this ribosomal RNA (465 nucleotides) under uncultured bacterium. RNAcentral's name for it is "partial 16S ribosomal RNA". It matches the Rfam family "Bacterial small subunit ribosomal RNA", at positions 338 to 795 of the family's 1533-position model. The record is from RNAcentral.
CCUACGGGAGGCUGCAGUGGGGAAUUUUGGACAAUGGGCGCAAGCCUGAUCCAGCUAUUCCGCGUGUGGGAUGACGGCCCUCGGGUUGUAAACCACUUUUGUAGAGAACGAAAAGUCACCUUUUAAUAAAGGGUGUUGCUGACGGUACUCUAAGAGUACGCCUCGGAUCACUACGUGCCAGCAGCCGCGGUAGUACGUAGGGUGCGAGCGUUAAUCGGAAUUACUGGGCGUAAAGGGUGCGCAGGGGGGUGGGUAAGACAGAUGUGAAAGUCCGGAGCUUAACUCGGUAAUGGCAAAUGUGACUGCUCGACUAGAGUGUGUCAGAGGGAGGUGGAAUUCGACGUGUAGCAGUGAAAUGCGUAGAUAUGUGGAAGAACACCGAUGGCGAAGGCAGCCUCCUGGGACAUAACUGACGCUCAGGCACGAAAGCGUGGGGAGCAAACAGGAUUAGAUACCCCAGUAGUC